This 76-nucleotide transfer RNA is filed under the name Bdellovibrionales bacterium RBG_16_40_8. RNAcentral describes it as "tRNA-His". It matches the Rfam family "tRNA". From Rfam's summary of the family: Transfer RNA (tRNA) molecules are approximately 80 nucleotides in length. Their secondary structure includes four short double-helical elements and three loops (D, anti-codon, and T loops). Further hydrogen bonds mediate the characteristic L-shaped molecular structure. tRNAs have two regions of fundamental functional importance: the anti-codon, which is responsible for specific mRNA codon recognition, and the 3' end, to which the tRNAs corresponding amino acid is attached (by aminoacyl-tRNA synthetases). tRNAs cope with the degeneracy of the genetic code in two manners: having more than one tRNA (with a specific anti-codon) for a particular amino acid; and 'wobble' base-pairing, i.e. permitting non-standard base-pairing at the 3rd anti-codon position. The record is from RNAcentral. Lineage: Bacteria; Pseudomonadati; Bdellovibrionota; Bdellovibrionia; Bdellovibrionales.
GCGGUCGUAGCUCAGUUGGUAGAGCACCGGAUUGUGAUUCCGGUUGUCGCGGGUUCAAGCCCCGUCGAUCGCCCCA